CCCUGGUUAGCUCGAUUGGUAGAGCGCGCCGCUGGAAAUGGAGAGGUCCCGGGUUUGAUACCCGGGCCAGGCG
This is a non-coding RNA of Ixodes scapularis (black-legged tick), 73 nucleotides long. Lineage: Eukaryota; Metazoa; Arthropoda; Arachnida; Ixodida; Ixodidae. The record is from Rfam.